This 513-nucleotide ribosomal RNA is filed under the name uncultured bacterium. RNAcentral's name for it is "bacterial SSU rRNA". It matches the Rfam family "Bacterial small subunit ribosomal RNA", at positions 15 to 518 of the family's 1533-position model. The record is from RNAcentral.
GAUUCUGGCUCAGGAUGAACGCUAGCGACAGGCUUAACACAUGCAAGUCGAGGGGCAUCACGGGAGUAGCAAUACAACUGGUGGCGACCGGCGCACGGGUGAGUAACGCGUAUGCAACCUACCUAUCAGGAGGGGAAUAACCCGGCGAAAGUCGGACUAAUACCGCAUAAAACAGGGGCACCGCAUGGUGAUAUUUGUUAAAGAAAUUCGCUGAUAGAUGGGCAUGCGUUCCAUUAGGUAGUUGGUGAGGUAACGGCUCACCAAGCCGACGAUGGAUAGGGGAACUGAGAGGUUGGUCCCCCACACUGGUACUGAGACACGGACCAGACUCCUACGGGAGGCAGCAGUGAGGAAUAUUGGUCAAUGGGCGGGAGCCUGAACCAGCCAAGUCGCGUGAAGGAAGAAGGAUCUAUGGUUCGUAAACUUCUUUUGCAGGGGAAUAAAGUGCAGGACGUGUCCUGUUUUGUAUGUACCCUGAGAAUAAGGAUCGGCUAACUCCGUGCCAGCCGCGGC